GUGCCAGCCGCCGCGGUAAUACCGGCAGCCCAAGUGAUGGCCGAUCUUAUUGGGCCUAAAGCGUCCGUAGCUGGCCGCACAAGUCCAUCGGAAAAUCCACCCGCCCAACGGGUGGGCGUCCGGUGGAAACUGUGUGGCUUGGGACCGGAAGGCGCGACGGGUACGUCCGGGGUAGGAGUGAAAUCCCGUAAUCCUGGACGGACCGCCGAUGGCGAAAGCACGUCGCGAGGACGGAUCCGACAGUGAAGGACGAAAG
RNAcentral lists this ribosomal RNA (256 nucleotides) under uncultured prokaryote. Its description in RNAcentral is "partial 16S ribosomal RNA". It matches the Rfam family "Archaeal small subunit ribosomal RNA", at positions 455 to 710 of the family's 1478-position model. The record is from RNAcentral.